UGGCACAAAUCUAAUUAUAAGCACAAUGUUUUAAGUUACUUGCUAUGAAUGGCUUUACUAAUUAUAAGCACAAUGUUUUAGCUUUCGUUUUAUUUGAAGUUAUUAUAAUUUUUGUUGUCGGCCAAUGAUAAUAAUGUUGAUGAUGAUUUAUAUUGCUAUGAAUGCCAGGUCAACCAAGGUAGACUCGAUAGACUAAUCAAACUUUCAUCUAUAUUUUCUGAAGACCCAUCUGUGCUACAAGAGGUACAUUGAGAGAUGAGUUGUGCCAGACUUAAAGUUGAAUACAUACGAUAAGACAGAUUGCUAUGCACUUGCAAAUCCAUUACUUUGUUUUAUGAGAAAUGCAAAAGGGACCAGCCUGAACUGUCAUAUAAGCCUUUUUAACAUGUAUGGUGAUCUAUUUAGCCUUUUAAGCAUGAUAGGCUAUCCUUAGGUAACUGUUGCAUUAACUGUAUACUCUGUACUGAUUUUUCUCUUUAUGGUAGUGUAAUAGUGCUUGAGGAA
Magnolia sinica is the source of this 504-nucleotide long non-coding RNA. RefSeq lists it as uncharacterized. The transcript is spliced from 2 exons. The record is from RefSeq and is a predicted model, not a curated record. Lineage: Eukaryota; Viridiplantae; Streptophyta; Magnoliopsida; Magnoliales; Magnoliaceae.